RNAcentral lists this ribosomal RNA (506 nucleotides) under uncultured bacterium. Its description in RNAcentral is "bacterial SSU rRNA". It matches the Rfam family "Bacterial small subunit ribosomal RNA", at positions 22 to 518 of the family's 1533-position model. The record is from RNAcentral.
GGUCAGGAUGAACGCUAGCUACAGGCUUAACACAUGCAAGUCGAGGGGCAGCAGGACGAUAGCUUGCUAUGUUGCUGGCGACCGGCGCACGGGUGAGUAACGCGUAUCCAACCUUCCCCUUAGUAGGGCAUAGCCCGGUGAAAAUCGGAUUAAUACCCUAUGUUGUGUCAUGAGGACAUCUGAAUAACACUAAAGAUUUAUCGCUAAGGGAUGGGGAUGCGUCCGAUUAGGUAGUCGGCGGGGUAACGGCCCACCGAGCCCUCGAUCGGUAGGGGUUCUGAGAGGAAGGUCCCCCACACUGGUACUGAGACACGGACCAGACUCCUACGGGAGGCAGCAGUGAGGAAUAUUGGUCAAUGGGCGUAAGCCUGAACCAGCCAAGUAGCGUGCAGGAUGACGGCCCUAUGGGUUGUAAACUGCUUUUAUACGGGGAUAAAGUGAGGGACGUGUCCCUUAUUGUAGGUACCGUAUGAAUAAGGACCGGCUAAUUCCGUGCCAGCAGCCGC